RNAcentral lists this microRNA (25 nucleotides) under Gadus morhua (Atlantic cod). RNAcentral's name for it is "gmo-miR-11210-5p". The record is from miRBase by way of RNAcentral. Lineage: Eukaryota; Metazoa; Chordata; Actinopteri; Gadiformes; Gadidae.
UGGUUAAUAAUAUGAUUGCCUUUGA